RNAcentral lists this transfer RNA (68 nucleotides) under bovine gut metagenome. It matches the Rfam family "tRNA". Rfam says of the family: Transfer RNA (tRNA) molecules are approximately 80 nucleotides in length. Their secondary structure includes four short double-helical elements and three loops (D, anti-codon, and T loops). Further hydrogen bonds mediate the characteristic L-shaped molecular structure. tRNAs have two regions of fundamental functional importance: the anti-codon, which is responsible for specific mRNA codon recognition, and the 3' end, to which the tRNAs corresponding amino acid is attached (by aminoacyl-tRNA synthetases). tRNAs cope with the degeneracy of the genetic code in two manners: having more than one tRNA (with a specific anti-codon) for a particular amino acid; and 'wobble' base-pairing, i.e. permitting non-standard base-pairing at the 3rd anti-codon position. The record is from RNAcentral.
CAGGUAGCUCAGUUGGUAGAGCAGAGGACUGAAAAUCCUCGUGUCGCUGGUUCGAUUCCGGCCCUGGG